UGGGGUCCAUUCCACGGGUUCCGUGCCGUAGCUAACGCUUUAAGUACCCCGCCUGGGGAGUACGGCCGCAAGGCUAAAACUCAAAGGAAUUGACGGGGCCCCGCACAAGCGGCGGAGCAUGCGGAUUAAUUCGAUGCAACGCGUAGAACCUUACCUGGGUUUGACAUGGAUCGGGAGUGCUCAGAGAUGGGUGUGCCUCUUUUGGGGUCGGUUCACAGGUGGUGCAUGGCUGUCGUCAGCUCGUGUCGUGAGAUGUUGGGUUAAGUCCCGCAACGAGCGCAACCCUUGUUCACUGUUGCCAGCACGUUAUGGUGGGGACUCAGUGGAGACCGCCGGGGUCAACUCGGAGGAAGGUGGGGAUGACGUCAAGUCAUCAUGCCCCUUAUGUCCAGGGCUUCACGCAUGCUACAAUGGCUGGUACAGAGAGUGGCGAGCCUGUGAGGGUGAGCGAAUCUCGGAAAGCCGGUCUCAGUUCGGAUUGGGGUCUGCAACUCGACCUCAUGAAGUCGGAGUCGCUAGUAAUCGCAGAUCAGCAACGCUGCGGUGAAUACGUUCCCGGGGCUUGUACACACCGCCCGUCAAGUCAUGAAAGUUGGUAACACCCGAAGCCGGUGGCCUAACCGUUGUGGGGGAGCCGUCGAAGGUGGGACUGGUGAUUAGGACUAAGUCGUAACAAGGUAGCCG
Molecule: ribosomal RNA, 684 nt
Filed under: uncultured bacterium
Lineage: Bacteria
Description: bacterial SSU rRNA
Rfam family: Bacterial small subunit ribosomal RNA
Source: RNAcentral